UACGAAGGGGGCUAGCGUUGCUCGGAAUGACUGGGCGUAAAGGGCGCGUAGGCGGAUGGCACAGUCAGAUGUGAAAUUCCCGGGCUUAACCUGGGGCUGCAUUUGAUACGUGUUGUCUAGAGUGAGGAAGAGGGGUUGUGGAAUUCCCAGUGUAGAGGUGAAAUUCGUAGAUAUUGGGAAAGAACACCGGUGGCGAAGGCGGCAACCUGGUCCUUGACUGACGCUGAGGCGCGAAAGCGUGGGGAGCAAAACAGG
RNAcentral lists this ribosomal RNA (255 nucleotides) under uncultured bacterium. RNAcentral describes it as "partial 16S ribosomal RNA". It matches the Rfam family "Bacterial small subunit ribosomal RNA", at positions 524 to 776 of the family's 1533-position model. The record is from RNAcentral.